GACGAACGCUGGCGGCGUGCUUAACACAUGCAAGUCGAACGGAAAGGCCCUGCUUUUGUGGGGUGCUCGAGUGGCGAACGGGUGAGUAACACGUGAGUAACCUGCCCUUGACUUUGGGAUAACUUCAGGAAACUGGGGCUAAUACCGGAUAGGAGCUCCUGCUGCAUGGUGGGGGUUGGAAAGUUUCGGCGGUUGGGCAUGGACUCGCGGCUUAUCAGCUUGUUGGUGGGGUAGUGGCUUACCAAGGCUUUGACGGGUAGCCGGCCUGAGAGGGUGACCGGCCACAUUGGGACUGAGAUACGGCCCAGACUCCUACGGGAGGCAGCAGUGGGGAAUAUUGCACAAUGGGCGGAAGCCUGAUGCAGCAACGCCGCGUGCGGGAUGACGGCCUUCGGGUUGUAAACCGCUUUCGCCUGUGACGAAGCGUGAGUGACGGUAAUGGGUAAAGAAGCACCGGCUAACUACGUG
RNAcentral lists this ribosomal RNA (468 nucleotides) under uncultured bacterium. RNAcentral describes it as "partial 16S ribosomal RNA". It matches the Rfam family "Bacterial small subunit ribosomal RNA", at positions 28 to 507 of the family's 1533-position model. The record is from RNAcentral.